RNAcentral lists this ribosomal RNA (495 nucleotides) under uncultured bacterium. Its description in RNAcentral is "partial 16S ribosomal RNA". It matches the Rfam family "Bacterial small subunit ribosomal RNA", at positions 28 to 507 of the family's 1533-position model. The record is from RNAcentral.
GACGAACGCUGGCGGCGUGCCUAAUACAUGCAAGUAGAACGCUGAAGGAGGAGCUUGCUUCUCUGGAUGAGUUGCGAACGGGUGAGUAACGCGUAGGUAACCUGCCUGGUAGCGGGGGAUAACUAUUGGAAACGAUAGCUAAUACCGCAUAAUAUUGACUAUUGCAUGAUAGUCAGUUGAAAGGUGCAACUGCACCACUACCAGAUGGACCUGCGUUGUAUUAGCUAGUUGGUGGGGUAACGGCUCACCAAGGCGACGAUACAUAGCCGACCUGAGAGGGUGAUCGGCCACACUGGGACUGAGACACGGCCCAGACUCCUACGGGAGGCAGCAGUAGGGAAUCUUCGGCAAUAGACGGAAGUCUGACCGAGCAACGCCGCGUGAGUGAAGAAGGGUUUCGGAUCGUAAAGCUCUGUUGUAAGAGAAGAACGAGUGUGAGAGUGGAAAGCUCACACUGUGACGGUAUCUUACCAGAAAGGGACGGCUAACUACGUG